This 1346-nucleotide ribosomal RNA is filed under the name uncultured bacterium. RNAcentral describes it as "partial 16S ribosomal RNA". It matches the Rfam family "Bacterial small subunit ribosomal RNA", at positions 28 to 1381 of the family's 1533-position model. The record is from RNAcentral.
GACGAACGCUGUCGGCGUGCUUAACACAUGCAAGUCGAACGGAAAGGCCCUGCUUUUGUGGGGUGCUCGAGUGGCGAACGGGUGAGUAACACGUGAGUAACCUGCCCUUGACUUUGGGAUAACUUCAGGAAACUGGGGCUAAUACCGGAUAGGAGCUCCUGCUGCAUGGUGGGGGUUGGAAAGUUUCGGCGGUUGGGGAUGGACUCGCGGCUUAUCAGCUUGUUGGUGGGGUAGUGGCUUACCAAGGCUUUGACGGGUAGCCGGCCUGAGAGGGUGACCGGCCACAUUGGGACUGAGAUACGGCCCAGACUCCUACGGGAGGCAGCAGUGGGGAAUAUUGCACAAUGGGCGGAGGCCUGAUGCAGCAACGCCGCGUGCGGGAUGACGGCCUUCGGGUUGUAAACCGCUUUCGCCUGUGACGAAGCGUGAGUGACGGUAAUGGGUAAAGAAGCACCGGCUAACUACGUGCCAGCAGCCGCGGUGAUACGUAGGGUGCGAGCGUUGUCCGGAUUUAUUGGGCGUAAAGGGCUCGUAGGUGGUUGAUCGCGUCGGAAGUGUAAUCUUGGGGCUUAACCCUGAGCGUGCUUUCGAUACGGGUUGACUUGAGGAAGGUAGGGGAGAAUGGAAUUCCUGGUGGAGCGGUGGAAUGCGCAGAUAUCAGGAGGAACACCAGUGGCGAAGGCGGUUCUCUGGGCCUUUCCUGACGCUGAGGAGCGAAAGCGUGGGGAGCGAACAGGCUUAGAUACCCUGGUAGUCCACGCUGUAAACGGUGGGUACUAGGUGUGGGGUCCAUUCCACGGGUUCCGUGCCGUAGCUAACGCUUUAAGUACCCCGCCUGGGGAGUACGGCCGCAAGGCUAAAACUCAAAGGAAUUGACGGGGCCCCGCACAAGCGGCGGAGCAUGCGGAUUAAUUCGAUGCAACGCGUAGAACCUUACCUGGGUUUGACAUGGAUCGGGAGUGCUCAGAGAUGGGUGUGCCUCUUUUGGGGUCGGUUCACAGGUGGUGCAUGGCUGUCGUCAGCUCGUGUCGUGAGAUGUUGGGUUAAGUCCCGCAACGAGCGCAACCCUUGUUCACUGUUGCCAGCACGUUAUGGUGGGGACUCAGUGGAGACCGCCGGGGUCAACUCGGAGGAAGGUGGGGAUGACGUCAAGUCAUCAUGCCCCUUAUGUCCAGGGCUUCACGCAUGCUACAAUGGCUGGUACAGAGAGUGGCGAGCCUGUGAGGGUGAGCGAAUCUCGGAAAGCCGGUCUCAGUUCGGAUUGGGGUCUGCAACUCGACCUCAUGAAGUCGGAGUCGCUAGUAAUCGCAGAUCAGCAACGCUGCGGUGAAUACGUUCCCGGGGCU